AUUGAACGCUGGCGGCAUGCUUUACACAUGCAAGUCGAACGGCAGCACGGGGGCAACCCUGGUGGCGAGUGGCGAACGGGUGAGUAAUGCAUCGGAACGUGUCCUUAAGUGGGGGAUAACGCAUCGAAAGAUGCGCUAAUACCGCAUAAUCUCUAAGGAGAAAAGCAGGGGAUCGCAAGACCUUGCGCUUUUGGAGCGGCCGAUGUCUGAUUAGCAGUUGGUGAGGUAAGGCUUACCAAGGCUUCGAUCAGUAGCUGGUCUGAGAGGACGACCAGCCACACUGGGACUGAGACACGGCCAGAC
RNAcentral lists this ribosomal RNA (303 nucleotides) under uncultured bacterium. Its description in RNAcentral is "bacterial SSU rRNA". It matches the Rfam family "Bacterial small subunit ribosomal RNA", at positions 30 to 336 of the family's 1533-position model. The record is from RNAcentral.